This 506-nucleotide ribosomal RNA is filed under the name uncultured bacterium. RNAcentral's name for it is "partial 16S ribosomal RNA". It matches the Rfam family "Bacterial small subunit ribosomal RNA", at positions 29 to 523 of the family's 1533-position model. The record is from RNAcentral.
AGUGAACGCUAGCGGUAGGCCUAACACAUGCAAGUCGAACGGCAGCACAGAGGAGCUUGCUCCUUGGGUGGCGAGUGGCGGACGGGUGAGGAAUACAUCGGAAUCUACUCUGUCGUGGGGGAUAACGUAGGGAAACUUACGCUAAUACCGCAUACGACCUACGGGUGAAAGCAGGGGACCUUCGGGCCUUGCGCGAUUGAAUGAGCCGAUGUCGGAUUAGCUAGUUGGCGGGGUAAAGGCCCACCAAGGCGACGAUCCGUAGCUGGUCUGAGAGGAUGAUCAGCCACACUGGAACUGAGACACGGUCCAGACUCCUACGGGAGGCAGCAGUGGGGAAUAUUGGACAAUGGGCGCAAGCCUGAUCCAGCCAUACCGCGUGGGUGAAGAAGGCCUUCGGGUUGUAAAGCCCUUUUGUUGGGAAAGAAAUCCUGCUGGCUAAUACCCGGUUGGGAUGACGGUACCCAAAGAAUAAGCACCGGCUAACUUCGUGCCAGCCGCCGCGGUAA